Molecule: ribosomal RNA, 497 nt
Filed under: uncultured bacterium
Lineage: Bacteria
Description: partial 16S ribosomal RNA
Rfam family: Bacterial small subunit ribosomal RNA
Source: RNAcentral
GACGAACGCUGGCGGCGUGCCUAAUACAUGCAAGUAGAACGCUGAAUAGUGUAGCUUGCUCUUCUUGGAUGAGUUGCGAACGGGUGAGUAACGCGUAGGGAACCUGCCUUGUAGCGGGGGAUAACUAUUGGCAACGAUAGCUAAUACCGCAUAACAAUGGAUGCCACAUGUCAUUUAUUUGAAAGGUGCAAUUGCUCCACUACAAGUUGGAUCUGCGUUGUAUUAUCUAGUAGGGGAGGUAAUGGCUCACCUAGGCGACGAUACAUAGGCGACCUGAGAGGAUGAUCAGUAGCAGGUGGGAGAGGACGCGCACCAGAACUCGGAGGGAGGCAGCAGCAAGGAAUCUUCGGGAAUGGGGAGAAGCGUAAUCGAGGAACGGCGCGUGAGUGAAGAAGGGUAUCGGAGCGUAAAGGUAGAAUGUAAGUGAAGAAUGGGUGUGAGAGUGGAAAGAACAAACUGUGACGGUAGCUGAGCAAAAAGCGACGGCUAACUACGUG